This is an RNA transcript of Ahaetulla prasina, 3495 nucleotides long. It is a transcript of the gene named protocadherin gamma-B5-like, with no coding region annotated. The record is from RefSeq and is a predicted model, not a curated record. Lineage: Eukaryota; Metazoa; Chordata; Lepidosauria; Squamata; Colubridae. The transcript has 3 exons.
UUUCAAUUAUCUAUUCAUAUUCCAGUUGGCUUUGUUAAUGAAAAAUAUGUUGUAAUUUUAAUGUUAAUAGUCCAUGGUGCUUAGAAAUUUAGCAGUCAUUAUAUGAUUUAAAUUGAAUUUACAGUUGUGUCAUAGGCAAAUCUACUCUAUCAUAGGCAAAUCUACUCUACUGACUACUCAGAAAGUUAUCCUAAUUUUAAGAAAAUGUUCCUAACGCAUAAAAUAAAUUAAUAUUCCUUCAUGUGAAUUGAAGUCUUCAAUCUUCUGUUAUCUUACAACUAAUAUGUAUGUAAAGGAGAAAGAAAGAGAAAACAGAUAUUAUUUUUCUUAUUGUACCAUGAUAUGUUUGAGAAUAGCUGAAACUAUAAAUUAAAAUAUUGAAAAUAUAUUCCUAGAUAAACAGGAAAAAAGAGGUGUGUGUGAGUGAUAAGGAAAAAAGAAAUAUGACUGAGAUACAAACGAAAUUAUCAAAACAGCAGGACAAUAAUAUUAGGAUUUUACCUACUGCUAUCAGAAGAUACCCACAUUUAUUCUUGAACACCUCAAAAACGGGUGGUAUGCAAGUAUAAAUCCCUUGCAGUUUUCCCGCUGGCCUCACGGUGUUGCUGUUAGCCAACUAGGACGCCGAGAGAAUGGAGAAGAGCUGUUUGUUAUACAGACGCAAAGGAGGAUUUCGGCAUUUCGUUAAAGGCAGGGAAAACAGCUGAUCACAAAUGCAAAGCAGUCUUGCGAAACGGGAAGUUCCCAGACAUUAAGAAGAAACGAGAGUGUUUCUUACUGGUCUGCGUUCUGAUGAGAUUUUGAGGCAGUCACUUUAUCGCAGAGGAGAUGGAGCGAGGGCAAGGAGGGAAUGGCAGAGCAAUCCGAAGGCAAGUACUAUCGCUCUUAGUCUUGUCGGUUUCCUACCGGGCCGUCUCCGAACAGAUUCAUUAUGCCAUCCCCGAGGAGAUGUCAAAAGGUUCUAUAGUGGGGAAUCUUGCAAAGGAUCUAGGACUGAGUCUCAGAGAACUGGCAAUGCGCAAAAUGCACGCCAUCUCUGUGGACAAGGUGCAGUAUUUCACCAUCAGUGCAGGAAAUGGAAACCUCUGUGUGAAUGAGAGGAUAGAUAGGGAAGAAAUAUGUGGCCGAAUUCCACUGUGUGUUCUUAAUCUUAAAGUGGUUUUUGAAAAUCCGUUAAAUAUUUACCAUCUAAAAAUAGAGAUACAAGACAUUAAUGAUAAUUCUCCACAGUUUCUCAGUAGCAUAAUCCAGUUGGAGAUAAUUGAAACAACACAAAUAGGCACCAGAUUCCUUCUUGGGAAUGCCAAAGAUCCAGACAUUGGCACAAACGCUUUACAGAAUUAUCAUCUUAGCACCAAUCCUUACUUUACUUUGGAUGUGAAAGAGAGUCAAGAUGGAAAUAAAUUUGCAGAUUUAGUACUCCAGAAAUCACUUGAUCGCGAGAGUGAACCAACGGUACAGCUAACACUUACUGCCCUAGAUGGCGGAAAACCCAGAAAAACUGGAACAGCCCAAAUAUGGAUCAAUGUCACCGAUGCCAAUGAUAAUCCGCCUAUAUUCACCCAAGACGUCUACACAGUCAGUCUGAGGGAAAACCUACCAGUUGGGUUCCUGGUGCUGCAACUUGUAGCUUCAGAUAAAGAUGAAGGCUCAAAUGCACAAAUCAGAUAUUAUUUCAGCAAUAUACCGCUGAGUGGCAAUAAGAAGUUCAGCCUAGAUUCAACCAGUGGAAUGAUUUCUCUUGUGGAACCAUUGGACUUUGAGGAAAGCUCAGAAUAUGUGAUGACUGUAGCAGCAAAAGAUGGAGGUGGAUCAAUGACCCAUUGUAAAGUAGAAGUAAAAAUCCUUGAUGAGAAUGAUAAUGUGCCAGAAAUUAUAACUGCAUCUGUUUUUAGUCCCAUUCUGGAAGAUUCUCAGACUGGAACAGUUAUUGCUCUCAUCAAUGUUCAUGACAGAGAUACUGGUAAUAAUGGAAAGAUCGUUUGUUAUUUAGAAAAUGACUUGCCAUUCAAGAUUCUUCCAUCAUCUGACAACUACUACACUCUCUUGACAGAUAAAACUUUAGACAGGGAAAAAGCAUCUCAGUAUAAUAUUACAAUCACAGCCACUGACAAAGGAACUCCUCCAUUAACCACCCACAAAACCAUCUUGCUGCAGAUCUCUGAUAUCAAUGACAAUGCUCCUGCUUUUGAAAAAACUUCCUACAGCAUCUAUGUGCCAGAGAAUAAUCCUUCUGGCGCCUCCAUCUUCCAGAUUCAAGCCUUUGAUCUGGAUAUAGAUCAAAACUCACAGAUCACAUAUUCAAUCCUCACCAGCAACAUUGAAGAAUUUCCCAUCUCCUCCUAUAUCUCCAUUCACUCUGAGACCGGCAUCAUCUAUGCCCAGCGAUCCUUUGACUAUGAGCAGUUCAGGGAAUUCCAGCUGCAGGUGAAGGCCCAAGAUGGUGGGAGUCCCCCUCUUAGCAGCAACGUCACAGUCAGGGUGUUUAUCCUGGAUCGGAAUGACAACAGCCCCCAAAUCCUGUCCCCUUCAACAGAUUCCAAGGACCCUGCCCUCUUUGAGAUGGUCCCUCGUUCAGCUGUGGCAGAUUAUCUGGUAACAAAGGUGGUGGCUGUGGAUGCUGAUUCUGGACACAACGCCUGGCUCUCCUACCAGCUGAUUCAAGCCACAGAACCAGCCCUCUUCACUGUUGGCUCCCAUACAGGUGAGAUCAGAACAGCAAGAACUUUUCUGGAGAGAGAUGCUGUGAAACAGAGACUGGUCCUUCUGGUGAAGGAUAAUGGACAACCGACUCUCUCGGCCUCUGUCACUCUGAACCUGGUGUUUGCUGAGAACUUCCAGGAGGCCCUUCCAGAGAUGAAAAACCAGUUGAAGAGUUCAGAGGAUCAGUCUGACCUGCAGUUCUAUUUGGUGGUGGCUUUAGCUGUGAUGUCAUUUUUAUUCCUCUUGUCAGUCAUUCUGGCCGUUGCCAUCAAACUCAGGCAGUCAGGAAAUUCCAGUUUCUUACCAUGUUUUGCUCCUGUUUCCCAUUCCACAGCUGGGGUCAUAUUUCCACCCAAUUUUCAAGAUGGGACCCUGCCUUAUUCCUACCAGCUCUGCCUCUCCUCAGAAUCCAGAAAGAAUGAAUUUACCUUCCUGGCACCAAAUAUUCAUAUUGCAGAGAAUGUGCUUUGUGGUGAAAAAACUGAUGUGCCUCUUUCAAGCAACGGAGGAAGCAAUUUCCAUCCUGAGGUGGAAAAUAAUGGGAAGAAUUUUCUUCCCUCCUGAUGAAAAUUUGAUCUGAUCUGAAAGGAAGCAAACAAGAUAGUGGGGAGAGGUCAAGAUGGAAAGAAAGCAAAAAAAGAAUGAAGGAGCACAUAGAAGUGAUUCUGGCUCUUAAAGUGAAACUCCGGCAGUCAGGGAAUCCUGGAUUCUUACAAUGUUUUGGUCCAGGCCCACAUACCAAGACUGGUGCAAUAUUUCCUUCAAAUUUUGAAGAAGGGACAUUGCCUUAUU